AUCUGUGGUAAAUCAUUCUCUCAGAGUGGUCUUUUGACUAGACACAAACGUACACAUACAGGAGAGAAGCCAUAUCAUUGUGACACCUGUGGUAAAUCAUUCCCUCAAAAAGGUCACUUAAGUAGACAUUUGAGUAUUCAUACACAAGCGUAAAAAUAUCAAUAUAAAAAUUUAUUACAACAUAUCAACAAUUAUGAGUUUUUUGUCUUCUACCAGACAAGGUGUCUCCCUCUUCAAGCUUGAUGUAUUCAACUUUAAUUUCAUGAAUAUCAACUUCAGUAUCAUGGAUAUAUCUAAAUAUAUCAACACAGUGAGAACUUUGAUGUUUGAAGAGGAUUGUGCUGGAGUUUUUGAGGAAUUUGUUAGGAGAGAAUAAUGAAUAAAAGAUUUAAGUGACAUUGA
Octopus sinensis (East Asian common octopus) is the source of this 402-nucleotide long non-coding RNA. RefSeq lists it as uncharacterized. The transcript is spliced from 2 exons. The record is from RefSeq and is a predicted model, not a curated record. NCBI's taxonomy places the organism in Eukaryota, Metazoa, Mollusca, Cephalopoda, Octopoda, Octopodidae.